CCCUUAGAUGUUCUGGGCCGCACGCGUGCUACACUGAGUGGAUCAGCGGGUCAGGUUGCGCGAAAGUGUUUCCUAAUCUUGAAAUCCGCUCGUGAUGGGGAUUGACGGUUGCAAUUUUCCGUCAUGAACGAGGAAUACCUUGUAAGCGCGGGUCAUCAUCCCGCGCUGAAUACGUCCCUGCCCUUUGUACACACCGCCCGUCGCUCCUACCGAUUGAGUGGUCCGGUGAGGCUUUGGGAUCUGAGCAAAGAGAGCGUUUCGCUCGUUUUGUCCGGAAAACUCAGUCGAACCUUAUCAUUUAGAGGAAGGAGAAGUCGUAACA
RNAcentral lists this ribosomal RNA (322 nucleotides) under uncultured eukaryote. RNAcentral's name for it is "partial 18S ribosomal RNA". It matches the Rfam family "Eukaryotic small subunit ribosomal RNA", at positions 1470 to 1796 of the family's 1831-position model. The record is from RNAcentral.